RNAcentral lists this ribosomal RNA (377 nucleotides) under uncultured eukaryote. RNAcentral describes it as "partial 18S ribosomal RNA". It matches the Rfam family "Eukaryotic small subunit ribosomal RNA", at positions 592 to 976 of the family's 1831-position model. The record is from RNAcentral.
CAAUAGCGUAUAUUUAAGUUGCUGCAGUUAAAAAGCUCGUAGUUGGAUUUCGGGUGGGAAUGGCCGGUCCGCCGUUUCGGUGUGCACUUGCUACGCCCACCUUGCUGCCGGGGACGUGCUCUUGAGUUCACGCUCGGGACACGGAGUCGGCGAGGUUACUUUGAGUAAAUUAGAGUGUUCAAAGCAGGCCUACGCUCUGAAUACAUUAGCAUGGAAUAACACGAUAGGACUCUGGCCUAUCUUGUUGGUCUGUAGGACCGGAGUAAUGAUUAAGUGGGACAGUCGGGGGCAUUCGUAUUUCAUUGUCAGAGGUGGAAUUCUUGGAUUUAUGAAAGACGAACUACUGCGAAAGCAUUUGCCAAGGAUGUUUUCAUUAA